UUAUUUUGUUGUUUUGCCCCCCAAGGUCUCCCAGAGCAGAACCGUUACUGCAGCACUCUUAAUGCUUAAGCUGUGGAGUGAAAAUGUCCUGAAGGAAACAGACCACUUUCCAAUAAGCUAUUGGAGUCCUAGGUCCUAAGUCCUUCUAGGUAGGCCAUAAAGCACUCCUUGCUCUCAGGGAAAGCUAUUUACACUCAGCACCUGUAGAAGAACAAGUGGGAUUGGAAGAGACACAGAGCCACCAACAUCCAAGUCUACUUUCUCCACACCUAACAAAGGUAGGCUAAAAGCAGUUAAUACACAGAAUGUUUUUGAAAGCAGAACCCCUAGUUUGCCUGAAUACCAACAGGUAGGGAGAGUGAGAUUAAUGCAGGCGAUAAGAAAAAGAACUGUUUUCCAGUUUUGUUUGUUUAGUAGCUGUGAAGUGAGGGAGGGAGAACUGUAGAUAUGAGAGGACUGAGGAAGAGCAUAUUUGUUUGCAGUAUUUUUUUUGCUCUGUGUGAGAACACUGAGGAAGAGGGUGUUAGCUCUUGAUGCCAUAAAAGAAAACAGCUCUGUAGUGAAAUUGCAGAUGAAAGCAUCUGUUUGGAAGGGGUGUGUGUACAGAGGUUGGAAGGUGGUGGCAGUUGUAAAGAUCUUGUGUUAGCAGCAGAUGGCUUGUUUUCACAUCUCAUGAAGGAAUCACUGUUACAUCCAGGUCUCACAGAGGGUAAAUUAUUUUACUUAUUUAGAAAUCCUAAUGAAAAUAUCAACAUAUGCUUGAUUCUUUUCAGAAAUUCUCUCCCUUUAAUCAUUUUCCAUCGAGAGAGCCUGUCUUUUCUUCUGCUUCUUUCAGUUUUUUUCUAGGGAGCAUCUGGACUACUCUUCUGCAUAUAGAAUGAUUAGCAGGCAGCCGAUCAUUGAUAGGUUGUGUGCAGAACAAUGCUGGCAGUCCCAGUGCUGCCUUUGAAGUCUUUCAGAGCAACUCACUUUUCUUCCUAGAGUUAGCUGCCAUUGUGGUAACGUGGGCUUGUUUCUUCCUGAUAGACUUUAUUUGGAAGAAGAAAAAAGCUCUGACGUUUUAUUUGUAAGAGAGGUAUAUUGUGAGCCAUGUCUUCAAACAUUAUUUCAAUACUAGUUCUAACCCCUGGAGUUGCUUAGCAAACUGAAGAAAAUCCUGGCCUACAAAAUGUUAUCUGUGCUUCCUAUUGAGGAUUGCCACUGGGAUUCUAUUUUCUGUUGUUCACAUUAUGGUGGGAAAUGUAUUAACAGCAGAAGGAUCUUUCUGAAACAUUUGACUAAAUAAAAACCUUUACACUGCUUGUAGAGCUGUUCGCUGUGUGAUUGUAUGUUGACUCUUACAUUCUUGAGAAUACAAGCGUCCACUUUGAACAAAAUCCACAGGGCAGGAGUUCACAGAGCAAGUCUCAGUCCCACUCUGGGAAAGUUGGAUGUU
RNAcentral lists this long non-coding RNA (1435 nucleotides) under Gallus gallus (chicken). RNAcentral's name for it is "long non-coding RNA NONGGAT007953". Lineage: Eukaryota; Metazoa; Chordata; Aves; Galliformes; Phasianidae. The record is from RNAcentral.